GCAAGUCUACUUGAAAGUUCCUUCGGGAGUGAUUAGGGUGGCGGACGGGUGAGUAACGCGUAAAGAACUUGCCCUUCAGCUGGGGACAACAUUGGGAAACCGAUGCUAAUACCCGAUACGAUUACAUCUUGACAUCAUAAUGUAAUGAAAGCUAUAUGCGCUGAAGGAGAGCUUUGCGUCCUAUUAGCUAGUUGGUGAGGUAAUGGCUCACCAAGGCGACGAUAGGUAGCCGGCCUGAGAGGGUGAAC
This 248-nucleotide ribosomal RNA is filed under the name uncultured bacterium. Its description in RNAcentral is "partial 16S ribosomal RNA". It matches the Rfam family "Bacterial small subunit ribosomal RNA", at positions 57 to 305 of the family's 1533-position model. The record is from RNAcentral.